CGAGUGCCAGCCGUUAUUCGGGAUUUCUGGGCGUAAAGCGUACGCAGGCUUGUUUGUUAAGCGAGAUGUGAAAGCCCCGGGCUCAACCUGGGAACUGCAUUUCGAACUGGCAAACUAGAGUGUGAUAGAGGGUGGUAGAAUUUCAGGUGUAGCGGUGAAAUGCGUAGAGAUCUGAAGGAAUACCGAUGGCGAAGGCAGCCACCUGGGUCAACACUGACGCUCAUGUACGAAAGCGUGGGGAGCAAACGGGAUUAGAUACCCCGGUAGUCCACGCCGUAAACGAUGUCUACUAGAAGCUCGGAGCCUCGGUUCUGUUUUUCAAAGCUAACUCAUUAAGUAGACCGCCUGGGGAGUACGGCCCCAAGGUUAAAACUUAAAUGAAUUGACUGGGGCCCCCACAAUCGGGGGAGCAAGUGGUUUAACUAUCAACAAACUCGAAGAAC
This 443-nucleotide ribosomal RNA is filed under the name Pseudoalteromonas antarctica. Its description in RNAcentral is "bacterial SSU rRNA". It matches the Rfam family "Bacterial small subunit ribosomal RNA", at positions 528 to 969 of the family's 1533-position model. Lineage: Bacteria; Pseudomonadati; Pseudomonadota; Gammaproteobacteria; Alteromonadales; Pseudoalteromonadaceae. The record is from RNAcentral.